CGGGGUGCACCAGGCGCGAAAACUNUGCAAUGCGGGAAACCGUGACAAGGGAACUCUGAGUGCCCGUUAAAUCGGGCUGUCCAUCGGUUUAAAUAACCGGUGAAGAAAGGGCCGGGCAAGACCGGUGCCAGCCGCCGCGGUAAUACCGGCGGCUCGAGUGGUGGCCACUAUUACUGGGCUUAAAGCGUUCGUAGCUGGUUUGUUAAGUCUCUGGGGAAAUCUUCCGGCUUAACCGGAAGGCGUCUCAGGGAUACUGGCAGACUAGGGACCGGGAGAGGUGAGAGGUACUCCAGGGGUAGGAGUGAAAUCCUGUAAUCCUUGGGGGACCACCUGUGGCGAAGGCGUCUCACCAGAACGGCUCCGACAGUGAGGGACGAAAGCUGGGGGAGCAAACCGGAUUAGAUACCCGGGUAGUCCCAGCUGUAAACGAUGCGCGUUAGGUGUAUCGGUGACCACGAGUCACCGAGGUGCCGAAGAGAAAUCGUGAAACGUGCCGCCUGGGAAGUACGGUCGCAAGGCUGAAACUUAAA
Molecule: ribosomal RNA, 530 nt
Filed under: uncultured archaeon
Lineage: Archaea
Description: bacterial SSU rRNA
Rfam family: Archaeal small subunit ribosomal RNA
Source: RNAcentral